Molecule: long non-coding RNA, 1285 nt
Organism: Myotis myotis
Lineage: Eukaryota; Metazoa; Chordata; Mammalia; Chiroptera; Vespertilionidae
Exons: 3
Source: RefSeq, a predicted model, not a curated record
CGGUGCAAUCGCAACUUGUGCGUCACUACGCCGCCAGCUGAUCGGAGACUGGAGCCGGUGUGUGCUGGGCGCUGGGAAGAGAGCGCCGCCGGCUGUGGGGCACGGACGCACUGAUUUGCUCCCCUGUCCUCAGCACCCCCCGCACACACCCGGCACCAGGAGCCUGUACCUCCCACACCCUCACCUGGCUGAGCCGCAGUAGUUCUUCAGUGGCAAGCUUUAUGUCCUGACCCAGCUAAAGCUGCCAGUUGAAGAACUGUUGCCCUCUGCCGCUGGCUUCAAGGAGGAGAAGGAGCUGCUUUCCCGCUCAUCUGGAAGGUGACAGAACUGGGGCUGGGAAGGUCUGCAGGAGUGAUGAUGGAUGGUGUGUGAAACUCAACUCAGGCCUGUGCAGGCAGAAAAAUUCUCCCCUCCAGCAGCCAGCAGAGCUGAGUUCUGGGACUCAACCCCCCUUGGGGGCAUCAGGCAGUGUAAACCUGCCAUCCCCACAUCCUGAUCCAGUCUCACUCUUUGGCUCAGGCUCUGGUGUGGUUCAGCCUUGGCCUAGAAUCCCUGCCUGAAGGUGGCUGCCUUCAGGGGCUGCAGGAAGCUGUUUGUUCUAUUUGGGGGGAAGAGGAGCCGGGUCCUAUUACCCAUUUAUGAGAAACUCAAAGAUUUAGGGGAGAGUAGACCAUUGAACCCAGCUCUUCCACAGCUUAAGCCGAUGUGUGUGGGACUGUGUUAGAAGGGGGUGGGUAGACUGAGUCCACUCAACAAAGAUCACUCUGUCCCUGGACAUUGCUUCCGUCCUUUCUUCCCCUCCUCGCUUCACUGGCCACAGUGUUUCCUUCCAGCCUGGGUGUGUGGCUCUGCCAUCCUCACCUAUCAUGGAGCAGAGAUGAGGAGGAGCAUCCUGGGAACACAGAGGCAGGCGGAAGACCAGUGAAGGACAAAGCCUGGAGAGCACAGGACCUGUCUGGGCACCUUGCAGAGGGGGGGCAUAAAGGCCAGGAGCACCCCAGGAAGAGGGAGGACAGCCAGCCUCCAGCAAGGACAAGCUUCCAGGCAUCUUCAAUCUCUCCACCUUCUUCGGAGAUGUGGGACCAUAUUAAAGUGUCCUGUGGCUUCAUCCUCCUCCUUCCACCUCUCUCCCACCUUGUAAUUUACAUAUAAGCAGCUUCAAGGAACAAGAGCCAGCUGUGAAAGGACAUACACAGGAAAUUCAUAAAAGAAAUGCAAAUGGAUAAAACCAUGACAACAAAUGUGUACUUCAUUAGUAAUUAAAGAGAGGCAAAUACAGCUGUAA